AACCUGAUCAUAAGCAGGGGACUUGACACUGUUGCCAAAUUGCAUUGGCUAUUGCCAACUGCAUAAUUUCUGCAGUGUCUUUAUGAAUACCUUAGCUUCUUCAAUAUAUUGGUCCCUGCUUCCCUACCAUGUAGAAAUUCAUGAUAUAUUUCCCCAUUUGUUUUUCAGUGUGUCAAACUUGAUCGGCUUGCACAUUAUCUAGAUUCUGAUAUUGCUUCACCCUCCAUGGCAUGUUAACAAGCAAUGCGAGGAUUUGCUUCCAUCAGAGUUUGUUCAGAAACUGGUGGAAGAAUCACACUGAACUGUUUGGAGAUUUAAAUCUUCCCAGAACUUCUUGGUAAUACUGAGCAGUAAAUGUCGACUAAGCUGCAUAGGAAAGGGCCAAAGCCAACGUGGAUUCAGCUCUGGAUAGAGUACGUGUGGGUGAAGUCUCUCCUCCUUUUGUUAGAUUGAAACCUGCUAUUUUUUUUUAUUGAUAGGAAUUCUUUGCCAAUGAUUUAUAAUCAGUUCAUGGAGAAUGAUAAUACAUUGGUUAAAUGGAAAAUGAUGAUACAUUGAUUAAAGUUGAGUUAUUAGCUGUAUUGGGAGUAUGUCUCCUCCUUCAUUGUGGACACUUUUUGUAGUUAUUAACUUUGAAAUCUGGCCAAGUUACCAGUUUUUUUAA
This is a long non-coding RNA of Rosa rugosa (rugosa rose), 664 nucleotides long. RefSeq lists it as uncharacterized. Lineage: Eukaryota; Viridiplantae; Streptophyta; Magnoliopsida; Rosales; Rosaceae. The record is from RefSeq and is a predicted model, not a curated record. The transcript has 2 exons.